RNAcentral lists this long non-coding RNA (1084 nucleotides) under Monodelphis domestica (gray short-tailed opossum). RNAcentral's name for it is "lncRNA (ENSMODG00000031955.2)". The record is from RNAcentral. Lineage: Eukaryota; Metazoa; Chordata; Mammalia; Didelphimorphia; Didelphidae.
GGCCGGGCACAGCGUCGGCGCCAGUAAGCGGGGCCUUCCCUGGGCCUGAGAAGGUGGAUUCCUGAACUUUUUGGAAUUCCUGACACGGAGCUCCCCUCCCUGAAACUGCCCAGAGAUCUCAUUGCUGAUGCGGCCCGUCGCGGAGCCCCUGCCCGGCAGGGAGAGCUUCUCAGCCUUCCCCAGGCCCCGUCUUCGGUCCUGGGCCACCAGCGGGGCCGGGCUUGGCCCGUAGGCCCUGACCCUUGGCCGGCGAGCCCCCGUCCUUGACUCGACUCUAGACCAGAGUGGGAGGAAGGCGCUUUCAAGCUACCUUUAACAAGGCGGUGAGAGGAAGACCUUCUCCCAGCUAUUUUCACAUUUCCAGGCCCCCUUCGUAGGCCUCCUUGGUGUGGUCCGGCUCUCUGGGAAGGGAGGGAAGAAGGAGGAAGGGCACCCUACCUCUCUGGAGAGCAGAUCUCUCUUGCUGGGGCUCUCCGGGAGGGCCUGUCUAGAAAAUACAGGGAGCGAUGAUGGACUAUUGGUCGGUUAUCCUUCGAAGGCUCCAAGGCGGAACGCUCGCUCGGCUCUAUCUCCCCAGAGGCCAGGUCCAUGCUGGCUCGCCAAUUCUCCUCUGGAGCCCUGAUCGUCCUGGGAAGCCCAGCCUAGGCCCAUGCCUGACUCACCCAAAUCACCCCAAUGUCUGGAUCAAUGGAUCCUCCAAUGUGUAGGCGGCCUGCUGAGAUACAAAGACAAAAAGGAAAAUGUUCCCUCUGGAAGGGAAAGGCGGGAGGCUGGGGAGGACUCAUGUACCUACAGAAGGGCAUGCAGUGCCUCAACUGUAAAAAGAAGGAACCAAAAUGAACAUCAGCUGUGUGUUUCUGACUGUGGAAAUGGAGCAGGAUCUCAGCUCUAUUCCCCAACCCAGGCUCAAGCCUACCCCAGAAUAAAAAGGCAGAAGACUGUCCUGUCAAGGCUAACAUGAUUGGACUUAUCCAGACUUUGACACUCUGAUGCCAAUCCAUCCUCCCGGAGUUCUCAGGAAAGCGGGAGCCGCUCUCUUCCUGGAACCCAAAACUACCUUCUCCUAACAAAACCCAAGGUUACU